UACAUGGGGUGCAAACGUUGCUCGGAAUUAUUGGGCGUAAAGCGCACGUAGGCGGUUCGUUAAGUCGGAUGUGAAAGCCCUCGGCUCAACUGAGGAAGUGCACCCGAAACUGGCGAGCUUGAGUACGAAAGAGGAUCGCGGAAUUCCCGGUGUAGAGGUGAAAUUCGUAGAUAUCGGGAGGAACACCAAUAGCGAAGGCAGCUCGCUGGGACGUUACUGACACUGAGGCGCGAAAGCGUGGGGAGCGAACAGG
This 253-nucleotide ribosomal RNA is filed under the name uncultured bacterium. Its description in RNAcentral is "partial 16S ribosomal RNA". It matches the Rfam family "Bacterial small subunit ribosomal RNA", at positions 524 to 776 of the family's 1533-position model. The record is from RNAcentral.